UAAGGAAUAUUGCACAAUGGGCGAAAGCCUGAUGCAGCAACGCCGCGUGGAGGACGAAGGCCUUCGGGUCGUAAACUCCUUUUCUGGGGAACGAGGAAGGACGGUACCUCAGGAAUAAGUCUCGGCUAACUACGUGCCAGCAGCCGCGGUAAAACGUAGGAGGCGAGCGUUAUCCGGAUUUACUGGGCGUAAAGCGCACGCAGGCGGCUCUGUAAGUUGGACGUGAAAGCUCCUGGCUUAACUGGGAGAGGUCGUUCGAUACUGCGGGGCUUGAGGUUGGGAGAGGGGUGCGGAAUUCCCGGUGUAGUGGUGGAAUGCGUAGAUAUCGGGAGGAACACCAGUGGCGCAAGCGGCGCCCUGGCCCACACCUGACGCUGAGGUGCGAAAGCGUGGGGAGCAAACA
Molecule: ribosomal RNA, 403 nt
Filed under: uncultured Chloroflexota bacterium
Lineage: Bacteria; Bacillati; Chloroflexota
Description: uncultured Chloroflexi bacterium partial 16S ribosomal RNA
Rfam family: Bacterial small subunit ribosomal RNA
Source: RNAcentral